CCUACGGGAGGCAGCAGUGGGGAAUUUUGGACAAUGGGCGCAAGCCUGAUCCAGCAAUGCCGCGUGAGUGAAGAAGGCCUUCGGGUUGUAAAGCUCUUUUGUCAGGGAAGAAACGGUCUACUCUAAUACAGUGGGCUAAUGACGGUACCUGAAGAAUAAGCACCGGCUAACUACGUGCCAGCAGCCGCGGUAAUACGUAGGGUGCAAGCGUUAAUCGGAAUUACUGGGCGUAAAGCGUGCGCAGGCGGUUAUAUAAGUCAGAUGUGAAAUCCCCGGGCUCAACCUGGGAACUGCAUUUGAGACUGUAUGGCUAGAGUGUGUCAGAGGGGGGUAGAAUUCCACGUGUAGCAGUGAAAUGCGUAGAUAUGUGGGGGAAUACCGAUGGCGAAGGCAGCCCCCUGGGAUAACACUGACGCUCAUGCACGAAAGCGUGGGGAGCAAACAGGAUUAGAUACCCUGGUAGUCCACGCCCUAAACGAUGUCUACUAGUUGUCGGGACUUAAUUGUCUUGGUAACGCAGCUAACGCGUGAAGUAGACCGCCUGGGGAGUAACGGUCGCGAAGAUUAAAACGUUAAGAAAGUAGUUAGGCGNGNGACGUUGCGACGACGGCAC
This 613-nucleotide ribosomal RNA is filed under the name uncultured bacterium. Its description in RNAcentral is "bacterial SSU rRNA". It matches the Rfam family "Bacterial small subunit ribosomal RNA", at positions 338 to 941 of the family's 1533-position model. The record is from RNAcentral.